Molecule: non-coding RNA, 77 nt
Organism: Myotis lucifugus (little brown bat)
Lineage: Eukaryota; Metazoa; Chordata; Mammalia; Chiroptera; Vespertilionidae
Source: Rfam
AGCAUGGUUCUCCAGUGAGGCAUCCGGGAAUCGGUCUCCCUCCUCUCUGUUUCCAGGUGCAUCAUUCGAGAACUGCU